GACAGAGGGUGCAAACGUUGCUCGGAUUUACUGGGCGUAAAGCGCAUGUAGGCUGGAAUCUAAGUCGGGUGUGAAAUCCCUGGGCUCAACCUAGGAACUGCACCCGAAACUGGAUUCCUGGAGUGGUGGAGAGGAAAGCGGAAUUCCGGGUGUAGAGGUGAAAUUCGUAGAUAUCCGGAGGAACACCAGUGGCGAAGGCGGCCUUCUGGACACCAACUGACGCUGAGAUGCGAAAGCGUGGGGAGCAAACAGG
This 253-nucleotide ribosomal RNA is filed under the name uncultured bacterium. Its description in RNAcentral is "partial 16S ribosomal RNA". It matches the Rfam family "Bacterial small subunit ribosomal RNA", at positions 524 to 776 of the family's 1533-position model. The record is from RNAcentral.